UGCAUCCUGGAGUGUACAACUGCAGGAACUCAACAAGCAAUAACACACCAACAAGACUCCAAGAUGCAAGUGAGAAGUAUACAGUGGGUGCUUGGGAUCCAGAGAUCAGAUACAAUUUCUUCCUUCUCAGAGGUUCCAUCAUAGAAGGGGAGACAGGUAAAGAGAAUCACAGUGAGACCCCUUGAGGACACUUGGACCAUCCUUCUGGGUAAGAGGCGAGGCUGGAGAAGCCGGCAGAGCUGGAAUCUGGAGGCCCAGAAAGCUGUGCUAUGGGAUUUGGCCUUGCUGGACUCCCCUCACCCGUUUUCAAAUAGAAAGGUAUGAUUUGAAGCACAUUUGGGGAAGUGGAGCCUGGCUGUCAUCUACAGAAGGCUUAAGGGCCCUCUCUCAACAGCUGAUCAAACAAAGCCACACGCAGUUCAGUAAGCCAUGGGUACUCUGACCAACGCCAUCACUCGCCGUGCUCAACAACUGCACGAUCUGUCUGGAUGCCAAACGCACAUGAUAUGUUUACCAAGAGGGCCUGAUGCCGGUGGGGGGGUGGGGAAUGCUGAUACCCAAGGGUUGUCCUUUUUACCAGCAUCCCAGGUCACCCUGUGCAGGUGCUUCGAGACUCAGCCUCACAGAUCCCCCAAGUCAUCCUCUCCAGUGCCAACGUUCUCCCACUGCUAAGUGUGAAAGAACAUCUUUGCAAGAGAACGCAGCCCUGGCUGCGGGCCUAAUGUGUGUUUAGAGAGCUCUCUGGAGACCCAUCCCUGUCCGGGGUAAUGGUGGCAGAGGCAUAAUUACCUUAGCAUCGGGAAGGCAGCUGCCCACCCCCUGGGCUGUUACGUACCUCAUCAUUUUCACGACUGGAGCUUCCUGGAUUGUAGCUGGCUCGGGCCCACGAUGCAGGGUCAGGUGGCAGAGAGGCUACGCGGCCGACUGCUUAGCCGGGAAACCUUCCCGGCCGGAACAGUCAAUUGUGCAGGGCAUGCAACCUGGAAAUGAGGACAGCUGUCCCCUGCCCCCCACAGUGCUCCAUAACCAGGUCCCCUGCGGACCUGGCCCAGGUCCCAUCACAUCGGCAUGUAGUGUGGCCGCUGCAAGGAAUGGCAAGUCUGAUGGCAGAGGUUACCCCUGCUCCCAUUCACUGAAACGUUUGCUGCUCUACAGCGCACUUGGGUGCUGCCUUAAUCGGUCGGUCUCCUGGGGCCAUGGGGACGCUUGAAAAAAAAGUACAUGUCAAAAUAUGGUGUUGUUCAGAUGUAAUCUGGAGUCCCCAGCCCAAUGUGAGAUGAUUGUGGUGCUCGAAAUGGAGCAGCCUGUCUGCUCUCUGAGAAGAGGGCUGCAGGCGACAGAGGUAUGCCACCCCCCCCCCCGGUUGCCUGGUUUGGGGAGAACUGGCUUUGUCAGGGCUUCCAUGUGGGACUUUGUUCAAGAAGAGCUUAGCUUGACUCCCUGCAAAUGGAAAGCCCAGCCAGAACUGAGAUGAGCAGAGUCAGGGGGCCUCAGGGAAGACAUCAAUGGUGGACGUGAGGUUGACCCCCAAGAUCCAUACCACUACCCCAACUAAUGCCACCAAUCUGCAUGCAUCACUCCUCAGGUGACACCAUCCAACAGAGGGCAGGCAUGUGUCCCAGGCUGGCCUGGUCAGGCUGGAGGAAGCCAUCUAUGUGGUUAGGGAAGUGUCUUAUGUGUGUCUUGUCCUGGUGAGGGUGACUAGGGAGGCACAUUGUCCCAGUGGUCAAUGGGACAUGGACCAGCAUCAGGGUGACAUCAGUGCUGAGUAGAGAGACUGGAAGGAACCUAGGUCUCUGGUGAGAGCACCCAACACAGACUGAGCUGUACUUGGAGCUCUUUGCCUCUGGACUGAGAGUUAUGUGAGAUGUACAUGUCCUCACUGUUUGAAUCUUCUCGCAUCGAAUGUCUUCAUUUGCUGCCUGGAGCCUCCCGACUGUACAGCUUCCCACUGGAGCGGCUGCCUUUGGAAGCAUGAGCCGGUGCCUCACAGACAACCCUAAUGCGGGAAACAGGCCAGGGCCUCGGAACCUAUGUGGAUUGUCUGGAGCUUUCACAAAGUGAUUUAGUGGCAUUCUUUUUUUUUUUUUUUUUUGAGCAAAAUUUCUUUUAAUUUUAUUUUACUUAAAUUUAGUUAAUUAAUGUAUAUUGUAUUAUCAGUUUCAGAGGUAGAGCUCAGUGAUUCACUAGUUGCCUAUAACACCCAGCGCUCGUUACAUCAUGUGCCCUCCUUAAUGCCCAUCACCCCGUUACCCUAUCCCUCCACCCACCUCCCGUCCAGCAACUCUCAGUUUGUUUCCUAGAGUUAGGGGUCUCCUACAGUUUAUCUCCCUCUCUGAUUUUGUCUUAUUUUAUUUUUGCCUCCUUUCCCCUGUGGUCCUCAUUUUGUUCCACAUCUGAGUGAAAUCAUAUGAUAACUGUCUUUCUCUGAUUGACUUAUUUUGCUUGGCAUAACACCCUCUAGUUCCAUCCACAUCAUUGCAAAUGGUAAGAUUUCAUCUUUUGAUGGCUGAGUAGUAUUCCAUAAUAUAUAACUCUCUAUAUUAUAUAUCAGUCUUCUUUAUUCAUUCAUCUGUUGAUGGACAUCUAGGAUUUUUCCAUAGUUUGGCUAUUGUGGACAUUUCUGCUAUAAACAUUGGGGUGCAGGUGCUCCUUUGGAUCACUACAUUUGUAUCUUUGAGGUAAAUGCCUAGUAGUGCAAUUGCUGGGUGGUAGGGUACUGAGCAAAAUUUCUUUUCAAUAUAGAAUUAAAUUCCCAACUAAACUAAGAUUCAAGCAUGAGAGUAGAAUAAAGAUAUUUUUAGACCUACAAGGCACAUUCAGUCUUUUCAACAGCACCUAGAGGGCAGCCCGGGUGGCUCAGCAGUUUAGCGCUGCCUUCGGCCGGGGGCGUGAUCCUAUAGACCCGGGGGCAUUCUUUCUACAAAGAUAGACUCAAUGUGCAUGGUAAUCAUGAGGAACAUCCUUCAUCUGCACCAAGAAAAGGAUCGCUCCUGUGUUUUAUGAGAUGCAAAGCCCUUUCAGUGUGGCCUGCAUUUUGAAAGAAGUAUAGGUCAGAGAAAUAUCUGAUUCUUCUCAUUGAGAAGAAAAUCAGCCCAGGUGCAGUAGUAAGUGGCUGCUGCCACCUGGCCUCCACAUGUAGGGGACUACAGAGAGGGAGGGAUCCCUGUGAGUAAGAGACCAGGGUGAAAGGAGAGCUCACACCCCACCUGACCAGCUGGCAGGCUCCAGCAGGUGCUCACAUGCAGGAACAUGGACCCAGGGUCCACCCAGUCUUCUGACCCUUCGAAGGAAGCUAUAAAAUAGAAUUUGUGUGUGAAUUUUCCACUUAAAAAAAAGAGGGGUGCCUGGGUGGCUCAGUCAGUUAAGCAUCUGCCUUCGGCUCAG
Nyctereutes procyonoides (raccoon dog) is the source of this 3387-nucleotide long non-coding RNA. RefSeq lists it as uncharacterized. The transcript has 3 exons. The record is from RefSeq and is a predicted model, not a curated record. NCBI's taxonomy places the organism in Eukaryota, Metazoa, Chordata, Mammalia, Carnivora, Canidae.